RNAcentral lists this unclassified non-coding RNA (229 nucleotides) under fungal sp. RNAcentral's name for it is "partial internal transcribed spacer region". The stretch from base 1 to 46 matches the Rfam family "Eukaryotic small subunit ribosomal RNA", at positions 1786 to 1831 of the family's 1831-position model. The record is from RNAcentral. Lineage: Eukaryota; Fungi.
AAGUCGUAACAAGGUUUCCGUAGGUGAACCUGCGGAAGGAUCAUUAACACGUAUCCAACGUAUCCACCCCUGUGGUCCUGUGCGCGGCUCUAUAUGUAAGUGGUAGAAACCAACUUUGUCAACCUGCGUGGUUGCAAAUUGCAAAUCUUCUGAGUUGAGGCAGGUUAGUCUGCGUGACUAAUCUGACCAAAGACCUAAAAACGAUGAAGAACGCAGCCUGUCUCUUAUA